CUAUACAUGACUCUGCGCAUAUCAAUAAGCGGAGGAAAAGAAACUAACAAGGAUUCCCUUAGUAACGGCGAGUGAAGCGGGAAGAGCUCAAAUUUGAAAUCUUCAAGGUUCUACCUUGACGAAUUGUAGUUUAUAGAAGUGUUUUCUGUUAGUGGAGUGGCAAAAGUUCUUUGGAAUAGGACAUCAUAGAGGGUGAGAAUCCCGUAUUUGACCGUUACUUUCCAGCUGUGUGAUACACUUUCAAAGAGUCGGAUUGUUUGGGAAUGCAGUCCAAAAUGGGUGGUAAAUUUCAUCUAAAGCUAAAUAUUGGCGAGAGACCGAUAGCGAACAAGUACCGUGAGGGAAAGAUGAAAAGAACUUUGAAAAGAGAGUUAAACAGUACGUGAAAUUGUCAAAAGGGAAGCGUUUGACACCAGUGUUGUUUUCUCGAAAAUCAAUUAAAAAUGGCGGGAUUUUGUGUUGUAUUGACUUUAUCAGCUUUCUGCACUUUUUUCCUGUCUUUUUUAAUGCACUUUUCGUUUAACAAGUCAACAUCAAUUUCUUUUGUUGUAAAAGGGUAAGAGGAAGGUGGCUUGCGCUUCGGCUCAAGUGUUUAUAGCCUUUUACCUCUGCAAUCGGAGAGAUUGAGGUCUGCAGCGUAGACUCUUCGGGGUUAGAUACAUUUGUGCUAAGCUAUAGCCUUGUAUAGACAACUUGUUGACUAUGCUCAGUCAUGUAGCUUACUCGCAGAUGCUAUUUUACCUACGCUUAGGAUGUUGAAGAUAUGCGCGACACGACUCUAUACAUGACUCUGCGCAUAUCAAUAAGCGGAGGAAAAGGCAUAAAUGCUCAGUAUACCUACGCUUAGGAUGUUGAAGAUAUGCGCGACACG
RNAcentral lists this ribosomal RNA (871 nucleotides) under uncultured Neocallimastigales. RNAcentral describes it as "partial large subunit ribosomal RNA". It matches the Rfam family "Eukaryotic large subunit ribosomal RNA", at positions 22 to 644 of the family's 3401-position model. The record is from RNAcentral. Lineage: Eukaryota; Fungi; Neocallimastigomycota; Neocallimastigomycetes; Neocallimastigales.